GCAGCCGCGGUAAUACGGGGGAUGCAAGCGUUAUCCGGAAUCAUUGGGUGUAAAGCGCCUGAUAGGUUGUUUGAUAAGUCUGUUGUUAAAGCCUAGGGCUUAACCCUAGAAAAGCGAUGGAAACUACCAGACUAGAGUAUGGAAGGGGUAGAGGGAAUUUCUAGUGUAGCGGUGAAAUGCGUAGAUACUAGAAAGAACACCAGAGGCGAAAGCGCUCUACUGGGCCAGUACUGACACUCAGAGGCGAAAGCUAGGGUAGCAAAAGGGAUUAGAUACCCCUGUAGUCCUAGCCGUAAACGAUGGAUACUAGAUGUUGUGGGUUACUUACAACAGAUGUUGUAGAUUAACAUGCAGUGACGAAGCUAACGCGUUAAGUAUCCCACCUGGGGAGUACGCUCGCAAGGGUGAAACUCAAAGGAAUUGACGGGGGCUUGCACAAGCGGUGGAGCAUGUGGUUUAAUUCGAUGCAACGCGAAGAACCUUACCAGGAUUUGACAUACUACAAAUCUUUUUGAGAAAAAAGAGCGCCUUCGGGAAUGUAGAUACAGGUGGUGCAUGGCUGUCGUCAGCUCGUGUCGUGAGAUGUUGGGUUAAGUCCCGCAACGAGCGCAACCCUUAUUUUUAGUUACUAACUUGCUAGGUUCUCUAGAAAGACUGCCGGUGACAAACCGGAGGAAGGUGAGGAUGAGCGUCAAGUCAGCAUGCCCCUUAUAUCCUGGGCUACCAUCACGUGCUACCAAUGGUUAAGACCAAUGAGUCGCGAGCUCGUGAGAGUCCAGCUGAUCCCAUAAAUUUAGCCUAAGUUCAGAUUGU
Molecule: ribosomal RNA, 813 nt
Filed under: uncultured phototrophic eukaryote
Lineage: Eukaryota
Description: bacterial SSU rRNA
Rfam family: Bacterial small subunit ribosomal RNA
Source: RNAcentral